Molecule: ribosomal RNA, 796 nt
Filed under: uncultured bacterium
Lineage: Bacteria
Description: bacterial SSU rRNA
Rfam family: Bacterial small subunit ribosomal RNA
Source: RNAcentral
AGAGUUUGAUCAUGGCUCAGAACGAACGCUGGCGGCGCGUCUUAAGCAUGCAAGUCGGACGGCAAGGGUAGCAAUACCCCUAGAGUGGCGGACUGGUGAGUAACGCGUGGGUGACCUACCCUUGAGUUGGGGAUAGCCAUUAGAAAUAGUGGAUAAUACCGAAUACGAUCGCGACCCUGUGGGGAUGCGAUGAAAGGAGCUACGGCUCCGCUCGAGGAUGGGCCCGCGUCCCAUUAGCUAGUUGGUGAGGUAACGGCCCACCAAGGCGACGAUGGGUAUCCGGCCUGAGAGGGUGUACGGACACAUUGGGACUGAGAUACGGCCCAAACUCCUACGGGAGGCAGCAGCUAAGAAUAUUCCGCAAUGGACGAAAGUCUGACGGAGCGACGCCGCGUGGAUGAAGAAGGCCGAAAGGUUGUAAAAUCCUUUUGCUGAUGAAGAAUAAGUGUGGUAGGGAAUGACCGCAUGAUGACAUUAGUCGGUGAAUAAGCCCCGGCUAACUACGUGCCAGCAGCCGCGGUAACACGUAGGGGGCAAGCGUUGUUCGGAAUUAUUGGGCGUAAAGGGCAUGUAGGCGGUUUCGUAAGCCUGGUGUGAAAUCCUGCAGCUUAACUGUAGAAUUGCAUUGGGUACUGCGAGACUUGAAUCACAGAGGGGAAACUAGAAUUCCAGGUGUAGGGGUGGAAUCUGUAGAUAUCUGGAAGAAUACCGGUGGCGAAGGCGGGUUUCUAGCUGAUGAUUGACGCUGAGGUGCGAAAGUGCGGGGAGCAAACAGGAUUAGAUACCCUGGUAGUCC